Astyanax mexicanus (Mexican tetra) is the source of this 1070-nucleotide long non-coding RNA. RefSeq lists it as uncharacterized. The transcript is spliced from 5 exons. NCBI's taxonomy places the organism in Eukaryota, Metazoa, Chordata, Actinopteri, Characiformes, Acestrorhamphidae. The record is from RefSeq and is a predicted model, not a curated record.
AGAUUAAUGCCAUAAUAUUAUGAGAAUUCAAUUGUAAUAUUUGAUAUUAAAGUAAACGUUUUUUUAGAGUGGCCCUAAAAGGUCAUAGUAGUGUCUCAAGGUUGUAAAAUAAAGCUAAAUUAGCUAACAUUAACUAUAUUAAAUAAAUCUUACAUUAGAAAAACACUGGUACAUUGAUAAAGCUGAAAAUGGAUACAGUAUCUUGAAUGGGCAGUCUGGUGGCCUUUUCCUCUGAGAGGUUCUCAGUGUUCGAGCGUCUUUGGUAAAAGCUGUCAGCCGCUGCUUUGAUGGCUGUGGAGCAGUUGACAGAGGUAAUGGGGAGCCAAAUGUCAGCGGAUAAGAGGAGGAACAUGGAUGCUGGUUGCCCCGCAACUGAAGGGUGAAGAAGCUGGGGAGCAGUUUGACAGAAAUCAAAGGAAGGCCACUUGAAGAUGCCUGGAAAGGUUGUAGAGUAUGGUACUGAUGCUGCGCUGUUUAAGGAAGAUGAGGGAGACACAGAUAUUAAUAUUGCAAAGAUGAGAGACGCAAAUACUGAUUGGAGACCCUACCUGGAGACCGUAGGGGUUUCAUACACUGAACUUUGUUUAAAGAAAUCAGACCCAGAAUGCACUGCUCCAAAGCACGGUGACGUUUCUCCGAGGUGUUUUCCAGAAGGUUCUCCUCACCAGUCUCUUUGGUUUGGUUUUACAUUUUUUGUACAUUCUGAGUUUUAUUUCAAUAAAAAAAUGUAAGCAAUAAUUUCUGCUGCAUAUGAAUAUUUAUAGCACUGGGGUGAAAUGGAUGCUGAUGAUGGGUUCUGCUGAUAGUAAUUUAGUAGUAAUUUUGAUAGAAAUGUAUUUUGUGUUACUAGUGUUAAUAAAAAAAAUGAUUGUGGAUACUAUAGUUGUUAAAAAUGAAUUCUGUCUAUUAAUGUAAUAAGAAAUUCAUUCUGUAAUAGUAAUGUUCAAAAUUAAUAAAUUCUUCAUUCAGGAUUUCUUGUUAUUAAAGCUUCAUUCUAGAUUUUUAUGUUAUAAAAUUAUUAUAAAUAUGUUAUAAAUAUAAUUUGUUAGAAUUGAUUCUGGAUUUUAUUG